This is a non-coding RNA of Salvelinus sp. IW2-2015, 72 nucleotides long. Lineage: Eukaryota; Metazoa; Chordata; Actinopteri; Salmoniformes; Salmonidae. The record is from the annotation of a RefSeq genome assembly.
GCAUUGGUGGUUCAGUGGAUAGAAUUCUCGCCUGCCACGAGGGAGGCCCGGGUUCGAUUCCCGGCCAAUGCA